Molecule: non-coding RNA, 2718 nt
Organism: Cucurbita pepo subsp. pepo (vegetable marrow)
Lineage: Eukaryota; Viridiplantae; Streptophyta; Magnoliopsida; Cucurbitales; Cucurbitaceae
Source: RefSeq, a predicted model, not a curated record
CCCUCACUCGCACUCUCUUCUUCAGCACAUUCUCACACUCGAAUCAGAACGCUCCCAUCAACGGCCUCUUCCCUUUUGAACGUUCGUUGCGGAAACCAAACGCUAGAUAAUUACCAAGCAAUCGGAGGAAGAGAGAGCAGAAUCGAAAGAAGUUUCUCGCCUCCUCUUGAUGAUGAAAAAUCAAGAAGAGAGGAGGACGAGGAACUCUUAUGUCAUUGCGAUUGGUUCCGAUAACAGGAGGGGAAGAACAAAGCAGUUUCUCUUUAUGAAGCGAUUACUUGGGCAAAAGAAAAGCAGUUGGUCCUGUCAUGGAGGCCGGUGGGAUUUUUGCAUCUACUAGAAAUACUGGUUUUGAAUUUGCUCUUAUGAACAUUCCUCUAGGUCAUGAACGAUAUGAGAGAUAUACUAGUGCCUGGGUCAAUUUUUGAGACUCAUUUGAGUCCAGGACAAAGUGAUUGAAGUCAAAGGACGGUCCGGUUCAUGUAAAGUCUGUUGUAAACAAUAAAUAUAACCACACAACCCACUAAGAUGGAAAUUGAGGACAUAGAUGGAGAUAACAAAGUUGAGGUCAAGGAAUACAACUCCGGUUGCUACUUUCAACAUUCUUGGUAAGAAAUUUUCUAUUUGACAUCAUAAACUACCUUAUGCGUGGACUAGAUCUCACGAGAAUUACGUUAUUGGCAAUGUUGUGGUCUUAAUAAGGUUAGGUUCCUAUUCCUAUAUUUAAUCUUUAUUAUAUCUUUGUUUUUUCUUUUUGAUGUUCCUUGUGUUCUACUAAUAAUAUCAUGUUUUUGGUUCAAGAGUACGAUUAAAUUACAUUUUCUGUUUUCUGGGUGUUUUAGGGAGUUAGUGAAUUUCUUUAUUGUCUAAAGAGUUCUUGUGGUUCUCUUUCAAUUGGAAAUAUUGAUUGAGCAACUAAGUUAGGAGGUUUAGGGUUAAGUGAGAAAAAUGGGCUGUAAAGAUUUGUAAAUUGGAGGAAUCCCUAAGAUGAUGGGACAAAGGCACUUCUUAGAUUCGUCGUCGAUGGGUUUCCAUGAUGAAUUAAAUGAAAAUUUAACAUUAGGUAUUAUGCACAUAAAGAAGAACUUUAUCAUAAAGGUAUGAUGCAAGAAGGAACAAAAGAAGAGAUUAAGGUUUAUAAGGACAUGUCGGAGAAGGAAGAACAUAAUUAAGGAAAAUUAAACAAGACAAUGAAAGAAUAUCGAACUUCCCAGAUUGAAAGAUAUUUAGAGGAGGAGAAUUUGUAGAUUAAGACCCGGAAGGUUAAGGGGCCGAUGAGAAUUUGUAGAUUAAGACCUGGAAGGUUAAGGGGCCGAUAGAAGAGAUGAAGGUUUAUAAGGACAUGCCGGAGAAGGACCAACUAUAAAGGUACCCUCAAUAAACUUGGAAGGACAUACCUAGUAACAAUUACAACAAGUCAAGCUAAGAAUAGCGAACUUGGAGUUUGUAAGCCUCCCUAAUUUAAGUUAGGUCAAGGUUUAAGGGAUCCAGGAAAGGAUUAAAACCAAAAAAAGAUAAGGGGCGAAUAGGGAACUUUUAAGUUGGUCAAGGUUUAAGGGAUCCAAGGAAAGGAUUAAAACCCAAAAAAAGGAUAAGGGGCGAAUAGCUAACUUUCCGGUUCCGGAAAGGAUUAAGGGUCUGAAAGAAGACCCAAAGAUCCCUAAUAAGUUUAAGGAUCCAAGGUUUAAGGAGGUCUGAAAGAAGACCCAAAGAAGGUCAAGGGUUUGAAAGAAGACCCAGUUUAAGGAUCCAAGGAAAGGAUUAAGAGUCUGAAAGAAGACCCAACCCAAAGAGGGUCAAGGGUCUGAAAGAAGACCCAAAGAGGAUCAAGGGUCUGAAAGAAGACCCAAAGUCCUAAGGGUCUGAAAGAAGACCCAAAGAGGAUUAAGAGGAUUAAGGGUCUGAAGGAAGACUUCGCCUAAUAAGUUUAAGUUGGUCAAGGUUUAAGGAUCCAAGGAAAGGAUUAAGGUCUGAAAGAAACCCAGAGAGGAUUAAGGGUCUGAAAGAAACCCAAAGAGGAUUAAGGGUCUGAAGGAAGACUUCGCCUAAUAAAUUUAAGUUGGUCAAGGUUUAAGGAUCCAAGGAAAGGAUUAAGGGUCUGAAAGAAACCCAAAGAGGAUUAAGGGUCUGAAAGAAGACCCAGAGAGGAUUAAGGGUCUGAAAGAGGACCCAAAGAAAGAAGGACCCAAAGAGGAUUAAGGGUCUGAAAGAAGAACCAAAGAGGAUUAAGGGUCAGAAAGAAGACCCAAGAGGAUUCCAAAGAGGAUUAAGGGUCAGAAAGAAGACCCAGAGAAGAUUAAGGGUUUGAAAGAAGAUCCAGAGAGGAGGAUUAAGGGUCAGAAAGAAGACCCAGAGAAGAUUAAGGGUUUGAAAGAAGAUCCAGAGAGGAUUAAGGGUCUGAAAGAAGACCCAGAGAGGAUUAAGGGUCUGAAAGAAGACCCAAGACCCAAAGAAAGAAGGACCCAAAGAGGAUUAACAGGGUUAAGGGUCUGAAAGAAGACCCAAAGAGGAUUAAGAGGAUUAAGGGUAUGAAAGAAGACCCAAAGAGGAUUAAGGGUCUGAAAGAAGACCCAAGAGGAUUAAGGGUCUGAAAGAAGACCCAAAGAGGAUUAAGAGGAUUAAGGGUCAAGGGUCUGGAAGAAGACCCAAAGAGGGUCAAGAGUCUGAAAGAAGACCCCAAGAGGAUUAAGAGGAUUAAGAGGAUUAAGAGGAUUAAGG